AAGCGUAAUAGCUCACUGGUCGAGUCGGCCUGCGCGGAAGAUGUAACGGGGCUAAACCAUGCACCGAAGCUGCGGCAGCGAACGUAUCACUUAAAGCGAUUCAGCGGGUUACGAUUGACGGAGCGAAGCGACGUCAAAGCGUAUACAAAGUCGAGUCGGUUUAAGGAUACGUUCGUUGGGUAGGGGAGCGUUCUGUAAGCCUGUGAAGGUGGCCUGUGAGGGUUGCUGGAGGUAUCAGAAGUGCGAAUGC
This 250-nucleotide ribosomal RNA is filed under the name Salmonella enterica subsp. enterica serovar Newport. RNAcentral describes it as "partial 23S ribosomal RNA". It matches the Rfam family "Bacterial large subunit ribosomal RNA", at positions 1130 to 1297 of the family's 2925-position model. Lineage: Bacteria; Pseudomonadati; Pseudomonadota; Gammaproteobacteria; Enterobacterales; Enterobacteriaceae. The record is from RNAcentral.